Molecule: long non-coding RNA, 1338 nt
Filed under: Homo sapiens (human)
Lineage: Eukaryota; Metazoa; Chordata; Mammalia; Primates; Hominidae
Description: HSALNT0078132
Source: RNAcentral
AAUUCACAAUUUUAGCAAUAUCUGGUAUUUGUUUAUUUAUUACUUAUGAGGGUGACAGUCAUGUCCCAGUGGAGAGACACAGUGAAAGAAAACAUUGUCCUCUGAGGCUCUCCUGGUGUGAAGUUCUGACCUCAAGCUAUCUAUUCAAAUAGGCAACUGCUACAACUGGAAUGACUAGAUAAAUUCACAAGAGAAUAAAUCUUAUUUCAGGUCAAAGAACAGAAAAAAAUAUUUGAAGAAAAGAAGAAAAGAUCUAACCUUCAUUAUACAGGUGCAAACAGGAUUGCACAGAUUGCCUUUUGUGAUAAAAAGAGGAAGAAAAAUGGCAGCAACCCAGAUUAUUAUUAUACUUAAAUGGUCUCUCACACUUUAUGAAGAUCUUUGUGUAAAAGUAUUAAGCAGUCCAUUUAACAGAGAAGUAUGUUUGUUUCACAUGUAUCAGAAAAUGUGAGUCUUAAUUAAAAUAGAUCCUGACGUCAAAUGCUAUUGAUGAGCAGUUAUUAUUCUAUAUGCUAUAUUUUAUAUCAGUGUAAUGUGUAUGAAGUUUUAAAAGACCUUCUAGGUUUCUGCCAGAUAGUGAUACAGUGAUAAAAUAUCAGCAGUUCAAAAAAAAAAGAAUGAAAGGUUUAUAUGAAUGAUGACACUGAAAAAAAAAAACAGACCCUCAGAACUAAGGUAUCUCUUGAUAAAUAAAGCUGUUAGAUGUUAUGUGGCAAUAUCAGAUGUCAGGAGACAGAAAGAAAGUAUUAGUUGCUUCCAAGGGAUCUGAUAUAAUGAAUAUAGUAAUUAGGUAGAUUGAUCACGGUCCCUCGGUUAUAGAAUCAAGUUGAUAAGACUCUACUAGUGAGUGGAAGUUGGUGGGGUCAAGAUUUGUUAAGAAAAUCUUAUGUAUUGUUUAGCAAACUAUAUGUAGAAGAAACUACUAGAGACAUAGAGAAUUACACAAUGUUUAUAGGUAGACAUAAAACUGAAUAAAACUUCAUGUAAUGGUUGUUAUAUAUGCUACUUAGUUUUUCACCAACUUAUUUCUUUUAAUAUUUCAUAAAAAUUAUGUUUUUAAAAUUAAUUUAUAUUCAUAUACAUAGUUCUAGUUUAGUCACAAUGUUUCAGAGUGCAUACAUAUGAAGUAAAAUAUAAAGAAUGUAAAGGGGUGAUAAAUAUAAAUUCAGAAAUGUAAAUAUCUCUAUGUGGAAGAAGAAUACAAUCAGUAAAAUAUGUAGGAAUGAUUCAACUCUGUUUUAAGCUUUAUUUGUUAAUAGUGGAGACAGAAUUUUUUGUAUUCUUUAUUCAUUUUAUAUUCUUGAAAUAGUUCAAAAUAAAUUUAAGUUUUCUCCAAAA